UCAGGUGGCCGCAGAGAAUAGGCCCAAGCGACUGUUUACCAAAAACAUAGGUUUCUGCUAAGUCGCAAGACGAUGUAUAGGAGCUGACGCCUGCCCGGUGCUGGAAGGUUAAGGGGAUCUGUUAGAGUAAUCGAAGCAGUGAACUUAAGCCCCAGUAAACGGCGGCCGUAACUAUAACGGUCCUAAGGUAGCGAAAUUCCUUGUCGGGUAAGUUCCGACCCGCACGAAAGGCGUAACGAUUUGGGCACUGUCUCAACAACAGACUCGGUGAAAUUGUAAUUCCGGUGAAGAUGCCGGAUACCGGCGACAGGACGGAAAGACCCCAUGGAGCUUUACUGUAGCUUGACAUUGGGUCUUGGUACUACAUGUACAGGAGAGGUGGGAGGCUUUGAAACCAGGACGCCAGUUUUGGCGGAGCCAUCCUUGGGAU
RNAcentral lists this ribosomal RNA (430 nucleotides) under Clostridioides difficile. RNAcentral describes it as "partial 23S ribosomal RNA". It matches the Rfam family "Bacterial large subunit ribosomal RNA", at positions 1769 to 2198 of the family's 2925-position model. Lineage: Bacteria; Bacillati; Bacillota; Clostridia; Peptostreptococcales; Peptostreptococcaceae. The record is from RNAcentral.